RNAcentral lists this ribosomal RNA (252 nucleotides) under uncultured Anaerorhabdus sp. Its description in RNAcentral is "partial 16S ribosomal RNA". It matches the Rfam family "Bacterial small subunit ribosomal RNA", at positions 524 to 776 of the family's 1533-position model. The record is from RNAcentral. Lineage: Bacteria; Bacillati; Bacillota; Erysipelotrichia; Erysipelotrichales; Erysipelotrichaceae.
UACGUAGGUGGCAAGCGUUAUCCGGAAUUAUUGGGCGUAAAGGGUGCGUAGGCGGUUUGAUAAGUCUAAGGUGAAAGUUCGGAGCUUAACUCCGGAUUGCCUUAGAAACUGUCAGACUAGAGUGCAGGAGAGGGCAAUGGAAUUCCAUGUGUAGCGGUAAAAUGCGUAGAUAUAUGGAGGAACACCAGUGGCGAAGGCGGUUGCCUGGCCUGUAACUGACGCUGAAGCACGAAAGCGUGGGGAGCAAAUAGG